AGAAUGCAGUGCAAAACAAUAGAUGGAAAGAAUGAACAAAAUGUUAUGAGACAUGAAUGACAGCUGUAAAAGUUCCACUAUCUGCUUAAUAUGAAUUACAGGAGAGAAGAAAAUUAAGGAAGGAGAGUGCCUAAAACAAGGCAAAAAUUUAAGACAAUUUCUUAGAAAUUGGAAAUACUCAUAUUGAGAGGAACCAGUGAAUAUUUACAGGAAGAAUGUAAAAAGACUGACAUGUAAGUAAAUCAUGAUAAAAUUUCAGGAUACUAAGGAUAAGGAGGAAACUGAAUGUUUUCAGCGUGAAAACAAUUGUGUGGGAUGGAAUAAGAUCGAUACCAGACUUCACAUUGGCAACAUGGGUUCUGUGCAUGAUCCUGCAUCCGUAAAACUGAGAAACCAACAGAAUGAGGACAGAAUGAAAAAAGAAAAAAACUUUCAGAAUGUUCUUCCUUUCCUCAAUGCCAUACAGUUUGUGCAGUCAGCUGAUUGGCUGAAAAGAGUCAGUUUUGACGACUGAUGCUUCCUGCUCAUGUUUAGUUGGUUUAGGAAGCUCAUUAGGAUGCUAUCUCGGAGAUGAGUCUGGUGGGUAGAAUAUCUGAUGACUCUAAGGCAAAUGUACUUCCUUCAGCUGGUGAAUUAAUUUCUCAAUAGACUCAAUUUGCUUUUUACUGUCUGGCAAUAUCCCAUAUUUGCAAUGGCCUUUCAAACACUUGCAAUAAAAUGUGGCUCACACAUACAACCUGUUAGCGGUGAAAGAGAAACAUUCAUCACAUUCAAAAUUCUCCAAACAUGAGAGCAGCUGAAUGUGCUUUAAGACAGUAUACCUAAUGAUACAUCUCUAUUUUCCCCUUCCUCUUACAAUCAUUUACACAGAUAUAUGAGAGGUAAAUAUGUGUUUAGAAAGUAUUAGUCAUCAUAGAUGUACCUCCAGUCAUCCAUUCAAAUGUAAACAUGGUAAAAUAUGCACUUGUACAAUUUUAUACUAUCAAUGAGUAUAGGUAGGUGAAAAUUAGUGUUGCCAGAAAAAAUUCAAACCAGAAAACUGAAAGUAUAGAAAAAUACUUUUUAUUUUGUCAUUGAAAAACCAUUUUAAAAUAAUAUAUCGUGUAGAAUAAAAAAUUCCAUGAAUAUAUACAUGUAAAUUAUACAUAUAUGUGAAUUUAAUUUUGUUAAAAGGUAAUUGGCAUCUGCAAUUUCAUGCAGUCUAAGUGAAACCCAUAAAGAAAUGUGUAUGAAAUAGGAAAGCAACAAAAGCUCAUAACAUUUUAAAAUUAGAAAUCAGAUUCAAAACCCAUCAUGAUCUAUUUUAAAUUUAUCUCUAUAACAUUUCAAUUGAGACAUAAAACACACUUUAUACAACAUGCCUCACUAUUUUAUUAACAGCAUGACUUCCCUUUCCCCAAUCCCCAAACCAUGUUCCCAUCUACACCCCACCCCACCCAAAUCUCACCUCUUCCAUUAGCAUUAUUACAAACAUAUUUUACAAAUCUUAUACCAAGCUUUUCCACUGUCUCUUUUCAAUGUAGAAAUAUCUUAUAUAUAAACCCAAAUACCACAAAUCUUCACAUUUAUAUUUUCUAAAGCAGUUAAACCUUUAUAGACAAUUCUACCUAAAAAGCCAAAUGUGCUUGACAAUAUGUCAUGUUAUGUUAAGUUGACCAGACACAGAAGUCAUUUCUGUCGGAUUUCUUGUCGAUGUUUGCAUUAAGUUGGAGCUUUCUGAUCUCGGCUCUUCUUGUGCCAGUAAUUUGAAAGGUCACCUCUCUGUUGGCCUUUGGUUUAUGCAAUGCAGUCUGGCAUUGCAUAAUUAAAAGUCUCGGCCGGGCACGGUGGCUCACGCCUGUAAUCCCAGCACUUUCGGAGGCCGAGGCGGGCGGAUCCCAAGGUCAGGAGAUCCAGACCAUCCUGGCUAACACGGUGAAACCCAGUCUGCACUAAAAAUACAAAAAAAUUAGCUGGAUGUGGUGGUGGGCGCCAGUAGUUCCAGCUACUCGCGAGGCAGAGGCAGGAGAAUGGCGUGAACCCGGGAGGGGGAGCUUGCGGUGAGCCAAGAUCGCGCCAUUGCACUCCAGCCUGGGCUACAGAGUGAGACUCCGUCUCAAAAAAAAGAAAGAAAAAAAAAGUCUUGUGAAUUUGUACAUAGAAUAUUGAAGUUAGAAGAGGCUUAUCACUCUCUGGGCUCUAAUACUGCCCAGAGGUUAUUUGUUUCUUGUUUCCAUAAGAAAAUCCUAUGUCUCUCCAUUAGCAUUCCUGAUCCUUACCUCCAAUUCAAAAUGUGGCCAGUUCCACCUUCUAAGCCUUUAUACCAAAUUGACUGGGUAGGUUUAUUAUGAAUCUGUGUUCUUGUCCAAACUCUACAUUAGACCUCGCAGGAGAGUUCAAACUAAAAACUAAUGAGUAAGUGCAAUAUUACAAUUGAAACGGGAGCAAACAUAAUUUCAAGUAGGACACAUAAAAACUGUGGGACCAAAAGAGGAAGAGUGCACGCCAAAUGUUCUCAAUUCUGAAAUGGCUCUUGUGAAAUAUCUAUGUGAAAACACUUCAAGGACCUGAAAAAAAAAAAAUGGUGAAAAAGCGAACAACCUUCCUUGCAAAACAACUCCAGAGUUAAUGCCAGAGCUUUCUAUCAAAACAUCCAUGUUAAGUUCGCCGGAAAGAUUCAGAAGAUCAAUGACAGGAGUAAGGGAAAAAACAAGGACAUUUUGUGAGUAGGAACGUAUAAUGACCCUGCAGCAGGAGAACGAGAGAGGGGGAAGAAGGAAAUGGAGGGUGUAAGUGAAUUAAUUGACUGUAACAUGUUUAAUGAAAUAAGUAGACGUGUGAUGCAAAUUUCUUAAUAGUCAAACGUUAUGCAACAUAUGAUGCAUAAGAAUUGUACUAUCUCAAAUUUUUUUUAAUGUGAGAUUCUCUUGAUGCCACUUUCAUUUACCUACACACACACAAAUAGCACAAAUCACAUAUACAUAUACUGACACGAAAAUAUAUAUGUGGGAGGGAGAGAAAGAGGGAGGAUAACUUUAAUCAUGAUACACUGCCAAUAUAAGAACUCCCUUUUGGCCAGGCGCGAUGGCUCACACCUGUAAUCCCAGCACGUUGGGAGGCUGAGGAGGGCGGAUCACGAGGUCAGGAGAUGGAGACCAUCCUGGCUAACACGGUGAAACCCCGUCUCUACUAAAAACACAAAAAAAAUUAGCCGGGCGUGGUGGCGGGCGCCCGUAGUCCCAGCUACUCAGGAGGCUGAGGCAGGAGAAUGGCAUGGACCCCGGAGGUGGAGCUUGCGGUGAGCCGAGAUCGUGCCACUGCACUCCAGCCUGGGCGACAGAGCGAGACUCCGUCCCCCUCAAAAAAGAAAAAAAAAAAAAAAACUCCCUUUUUAGAAAGAUCUUUUAUUCAACUUACCAAAAUUUUAAUUGCCAAUGGAACAGAAACCAGCACAAAUAAGAACUUGUAACUUACCCAGGUACAAGUGAAUUUCAAUGACUGAAAUUCAGGGGCAUUCUAAGCAAGAAUAGUUCAAUAGUAACUAAUCUCAUUAUUUUUCAUUUUUAUUAAGUCAUAUUUAUUAUUCAUAGUGUGAUUUCUCAUCAAGGAGUUAUUUAACAUGCCAAAAGCCUGCAUCUCUUUAACUAGGUCUUUAUGCAUAGGGAAUGUUUAAGUAUCCACAAAAGUAAUACAUACUAACCAAUUUUUUAGAGUUUAACAUAUAUAUUUGAAGAUAUGUUUUCCCCAAAUGUACAGUUCUUUGUGGCCUGGAUUGCCUCAGGAAACUGCCUCUGCCUGUUGUGGGUAUCAUGGCAAGUAAGGGCACUGGUAAUUUACUGCUGAGAAAAUGCCUAGCCGUUUGCCUAAUUAUGCCAUGUCAUCUUCCUCACACUACAGAGCACGGUAACCUCAUUUCCAAAAUCAAAGACAGAACAAAUCUGAACAGCUACUGUUCCUGAGGCAAACAAGUGAAUAAAUUCCAAAACAUGCCAUGGACUCACCGACGAUGAAUUUUAGACAAUUCUUUUUUUUUUUUUGGGACUACAGGCGCCCACCACCACUCCCGGCUAAUUUUUUUGUAUUUUUAGUAGAGACGAGGUUUCACAAUGUUAGCCAGGAUGGUCUCGAUCUCCUGACAUUGUGAUCUGCCGCCUCAGCCUCCCAAAGUGCUGGGAGUACAGGCGUGAACCACCGCGCCUGGCUGGAUUUUAGACAAUUCUACAUCGUCUGUUGAAUCUAUCGUCUGUUGAAUCAGCUUUCUAUUAACCACACACUAUAGAAGUGAAACGAACCUGUACUACCAAGAGUGUAUUAAUUUUGCAUGCAUUUCCUAGUAAACAAUGUAGACAGUAUUAAUUUUUAUGUUGCCAAGGUAAUAGUUUUGUCCCUCAACUCAUAUGCUAAAUUUUGCCUCACCUGGCUCAGUCAGAAGGAACAGAAUUGACAAUAUUAACUAGUCUCAGUUAUCUCCACUGACAGAAAAAAAAACGUGUUAUUUUCUACACGGACUGUGGGAAUCAGCAUUUUCUGUUAUUAACUUAAGAUUUUUUUUCUUGCCAUUUCUCUUUAUGAUCCCAAUGUAUUGAUGUAUUUCUAACACUACAACAAGAUUUGUGUCACUCAACUGUGUGUUGUAAUCAUUGUCUUUUAACCAUUUAUAUCCAUGAAACUGAUGUCAUUGAAAGAUAGAAAACAGAAACAAAAAGCAUAGAAGGGAGAGAGGGAGGAAGACUUUAGUCAUGAUACAAUGCCAAUGUAAGGACUCCUUUUAAGAAAGAUUUUAAAAAAUUUCUUCAUCAAAAUUUCCAUUGCCUCCUUGAAUGAACUGUGAAGGAUUGCAAAUUCCUUUAAAACUUGGUUUUGGCAACGAAUCUGGAUUUCCUUCAUUAGCCAGGUAUACAGAAUUCAUUUUCCAAUGCUCUAUUAAAAAUAAGAGGCUGGGCACGGUGGCUCACGCCUGUAAUCCCAGCACUUUGGGAGGCUGAGGCGGGUGGAUCACAAGGUCAGGAGAUGGAGACCAUCCUGGCUAACACGGUGAAACCCCGUCUCUACUAAAAAUACAAAAAAUUAGCCGGGUGUGGUGGCGGGCACCUGUAGUCCCAGCUACUCAGGAGGCUGAGGCAGGAGAAUGGCGUGAACCCAGGAGGCGGAGCUUGCAGUGAGCCGAGACUGCGCCACUGCACUCCAGCCUGGGCGACAGAGUGAGACUCCAUCUAAAAAAAAAUAAAAUAAAAUAAAAUAAAUAAAAAAGGGAAGAUUCCCUUAAUGUUUCCCAGUCUAUUAAAGGUUUCCUUCCAAAAGGAGCUCAUUCUGAUCCCAUUUAGUACAACACCCUCGUGUAUGCCAGAUGGCACAGGCAUCAUAGCUUCACAAAUGUCAUUCUGAUUCUCACCUUUAAAAUGAAAUUCCCUUAGUCUACCUUUCUUUACAUAAACUACAAAAUUGUAGACAAAGACAUGCCAAAUUAAAAGCCUCUUUUGCUAAAUAUUCUAGAAAUAAUUUGAGAAAAAUGGGCGCAAUUUGAGACCUUAGUUGUCUUGGAAAGGGAGUAGGUGGGUAUUUGACUAUGAUUCUGGUUGGUAUUUCUCCUGUUAACUAUUUAAAUGUGUGACCUUAAAAGAAAAUCAUUCAGUCUUGUUGAGACUAAUAAAUGUCUCACCCAAAAAAAAUGAACUUAAAAUUUCUCCUAUGUGUCUUAUAGCUCAAAAAUUUUCAAUUCUGUUUCAAGCCAUUCUAACAUCCUGGAUAUUUUCCUGGAUAUUAUAAUAUCCAGCUUAUAAUCUGCAUAGGUAAAGUUUUAUUUGUAUUAUGUUCCUUAGGUUUUGUUAAGUUUCUUGCAAGUAGGUUGAUAUUCUUUAAUGUUUAAGUAUUAAAUCUGAGGUGAGCUGAAUAGUUACCUGUUAUUGUUUUGUGUACUCAAUAAUUUACAGUAAAAUAUAUUUAGAAUUGUUAUAGUUGGUUAUUAGAAAUAGAGUUUCUACCUAUUGUGGUUUUUAAAGUACCUGUGGUCCAGGGGCAGUGGCUCACACCUGUAAUCCCAGGACUUUGGGAGGCCAAGGUGGGCGGAUCACUUGAGGUCGGGAGUUCAAGACCAGCCUAGCCAACAUGGCGAAACCCCGUCUCUACAAAAUAUACAAAAAUUAGCUGGGCGUGGUGGCGCGUACCUGUAAACCGAGCUACUUGGCAGGCUAAGGCACUAGAAUUGCUUCAACCUAGGAGGCGGAAGUUGUAGUGAGCCAAGAUCUUGCCUCCACACUCCAGCCUGGGUGACAGAGCAAGACUCUGUCUCAAAAAAAUAAAAAUAAAAGUGCCUGUGUAUGCAGUGG
RNAcentral lists this long non-coding RNA (6305 nucleotides) under Homo sapiens (human). Its description in RNAcentral is "HSALNT0218171". Lineage: Eukaryota; Metazoa; Chordata; Mammalia; Primates; Hominidae. The record is from RNAcentral.